RNAcentral lists this ribosomal RNA (776 nucleotides) under uncultured fungus. RNAcentral's name for it is "eukaryotic LSU rRNA". The stretch from base 146 to 776 matches the Rfam family "Eukaryotic large subunit ribosomal RNA", at positions 1 to 649 of the family's 3401-position model. Lineage: Eukaryota; Fungi. The record is from RNAcentral.
AACCCUCAAGCUCUGCUUGGUAUUGGGANGUANCAUUCCCCGGUUCAUNUCAAAAUCAGUGGCAGUGCCAUGUAGCCCUCAGCGCAGUAAAUUUCUCGCUUCAGGGUCUGGAUGUCCGCUAGCCAGAAAACUAAACAUCAAAGGUUGACCUCGGAUCAGGUAGGGAUACCCGCUGAACUUAAGCAUAUCAAUAAGCGGAGGAAAAGAAACCAACAGGGAUUGCCUCAGUAACGGCGAGUGAAGCGGCAACAGCUCAAAUUUGAAAUCUGGCCUCACGGUCCGAGUUGUAAUUUGUAGAGGAUGCUUCGAGCGCGGUCCAGUCAAAGUUCUCUGGAAGGGGAAGUCAUGGAGGGUGAGAAUCCCGUACGCGACUGGGUGCCUAAGCUCAUGUGAAGCUCCUUCGACGAGUCGAGUUGUUUGGGAAUGCAGCUCAAAAUGGGUGGUAAAUUUCAUCUAAAGCUAAAUAUUGGCCAGAGACCGAUAGCGCACAAGUAGAGUGAUCGAAAGAUGAAAAGCACUUUGGAAAGAGAGUUAAACAGUACGUGAAAUUGUUGAAAGGGAAGCGCUUGCAACCAGACUUGCAUGCAGUUGAUCAUCUGGUGUUUUCACUAGUGCAACUCAGUUGUAUUCAGGCCAGCAUCGGUCUUGAUGGUUGGAUAAAGGCCCUGGGAAUGUAGCUUCUCUUGGGGAGUGUUAUAGCCCAAGGUGCAAUGCAGCCUAUUAGGACCGAGGACCGCGCUUCGGCUAGGAUGCUGGCGUAAUGGUUGUAAGCGACC